RNAcentral lists this long non-coding RNA (342 nucleotides) under Lathyrus oleraceus (garden pea). RNAcentral's name for it is "Pisum sativum (pea) long non-coding RNA (PSAT_LNC034577)". Lineage: Eukaryota; Viridiplantae; Streptophyta; Magnoliopsida; Fabales; Fabaceae. The record is from RNAcentral.
AAUACAUCAAAAGAAAAGGAAAAAUUAUGGGUGAAAUUGUCAAGUUGGUUUGUAUAAUGAUUAUCUUUAUUUUCCUAUUUUUUGUUGCAGUGAACGUUGAUGGUAAACUUUUUAUUUAUCAUUUAUAUAUUUUAUUUUUUACUUCUUACGUAAUAUUUUAUACUAUUUUAGUAGCAUUCAUUAUUUUAUUGUUUUUAUUUCAUUUCAGCUGAAGCUAUAGAAUGUACUAAAGAAUCCGGUUGUCCAAAACGUUAUUGCCCGGCACCUCUUCUAGCAAACUGUGUUAGAAGCAAGUGUAAAUGUAUUAUAUAGUAAAAAAAAAAAGAGUUGUAAAAAUAUAUA